Molecule: ribosomal RNA, 497 nt
Filed under: uncultured bacterium
Lineage: Bacteria
Description: partial 16S ribosomal RNA
Rfam family: Bacterial small subunit ribosomal RNA
Source: RNAcentral
GACGAACGCUGGCGGCGUGCCUAAUACAUGCAAGUUGAGCGCUGAAGGUUGGUACUUGUACCAACUGGAUGAGCAGCGAGCGGGUGAGUAACGCGUGGGGAAUCUGCCUUUGAGCGGGGGACAACAUUUGGAAACGAAUGCUAAUACCGCAUAAAAACUUUAAACACAAGUUUUAAGUUUGAAAGAUGCAAUUGCAUCACUCAAAGAUGAUCCCGCGUUGUAUUAGCUAGUUGGUGAGGUAAAGGCUCACCAAGGCGAUGAUACAUAGCCGACCUGAGAGGGUGAUCGGCCACAUUGGGACUGAGACACGGCCCAAACUCCUACGGGAGGCAGCAGUAGGGAAUCUUCGGCAAUGGACGAAAGUCUGACCGAGCAACGCCGCGUGAGUGAAGAAGGGUUUCGGAUCGUAAAACUCUGUUGGUAGAGAAGAACGUUGGUGAGAGUGGAAAGCUCAUCAAGUGACGGUAACUACCCAGAAAGGGACGGCUAACUACGUG